CCGAGUGAGGGUCUCUCAGGCCCGACCUCCCACCCUGUGUUUUUGUGACCUUGUUGCUUUGGCGGGCCCGCCUCGACGAGAGGCCGCCGGAAGCUCACCGCUUUGGGCCCGUGCCCGCCAGUAGCCCCCUUAAAUUCUUAAUAAACCUGUCGUCUGAGUCCAUGGAUAUAAUGAAAAA
RNAcentral lists this unclassified non-coding RNA (178 nucleotides) under uncultured fungus. RNAcentral describes it as "sequence contains ITS1, 5.8S rRNA gene". The record is from RNAcentral. Lineage: Eukaryota; Fungi.